CCGGAAUGAACCAAGGCGAGUCUUCCCCCUCCCCGUCCCCCUCGGUCGCCUUUCUCGCCGCUCCGAGGCUGAGCAGCCAGCUGGGCCCCGCCGCUCCCCAGUCAGACGCCCCUCUCAGACGGCCAUGCCCGUCUCCCGCCCCACUGGGGUGCGGUGGGAAUUGGGAGUCUGGCGCCUCUGGCAGGCGGCGGGGAGGAGGGCAGAACGCCUGGGGAAGAUGGAGGGAAGGAGGCGCCCCUUCCCCGGGAAGCCCCCUCGCUGCCCCGGACUCGGCUCGGCUGCCGGGAAAGGGACGAGGAGACACCGCCGCGUCGCCUUUCUGACUUGCCUGCGACGCGUGUCAAGGGAGCGUGUCUGGAGGUGGGUGGGGAACGGAGCGGCUUGGCUCGUUUGCCUUGCCGUUUCUCAGUUGCUUUCCCGCAAAGGGAGGGAAAAAGAAAAAGGGAUUUUUUUUCCUUCUCCCCCCCCCUCCAAACGCCCAAACUGGGAUGGUUGGAAGUUUGGCACGGCUUUUCCACCCAUUUCGAAAGAAUGAUACCCUGGCUAGUGGCUUGGGACACGGACACACAUACACACACAAGGACACACACACACUCACACGAGCUAAGUUUAGGCGGAAUGAAUGUGGGGUUCUUUCCCCCCCCCCCAAGCAUCCAGUUCUGUAGUGGUGAGAAAGCAGCUUAGCCAUCCCGGCUUCUGGGAGUGUCAUGACAGCAGCCUUUUUUAUCUCUUUCCAGGGCAAGUGACUAAAAGUGUGGUGUGUUAAAAGCACAAGUCUUUAUUUUUGCAUCCAUUGUCCUGAUUAGCCUUCUGAUUGAGUUUGAACGGUUUUGUACAGAUGUGCCUGACUAAAGAUGAAUUCCUAGCCUUUCAUAGCUGGAAAAUAACAGGCUGUAAAUGUAGUCUUAUAUUCCCUUCUUCAGUUUCUUUUCAAAGAACCUCACUUAUCCAAUUUCUUUUGUACUACAUAUAUAAAAUACUUUUUAAAAAUGUGACUUGUUCUCAGUAAAAUUCCAUAUUGGUAUUAAAGUAAUAAUGAAACUUUAAAUGGAAUAUAAUAAUCAAAUAUAAUAUAGCAAUUAUAUUUGAAAGUUAAAAAUAAAAUUCUGAAAGAAUACGAUUAAUCAGUUUAUACUAAAUAUUUUCAGGGCUGUGAAAAGGUUUAUUACAAAUGUAGUUCAUAGACAACACAAAUUAUGCAAAAACAUGUAUUUUUAAAGUACUAUGAUGAGCUUUAUGGUAACUCUUUAAUCGCUUGUUUAAUUACAUUGUUUCAAAGUAAUUUUCUUUUAUGGAAUUUUUAAUAUCAAAAUUUGCAGAACCUUUUUGAGAAUACAAAAUAUUUUUAAUACAAUAGUAGACUUUAAGUGGUCAAUUAAUUAUCAAAUAUACUGAAGUUUUUACCCAUGUUGCAUAUUAUAGGGAGCAUUGAUUUCUUGUACUUAAGUGCUAAAACAUUUUAAUUAAAGUGCUCUCAAGGAAAGUAAAACUCCAUAAAGCAUAUCCAAAACAUUUCUUCUGUUGGUUCUAAACCCUGGAACAUUAUAAUCCCAAACAGUGGCUUUCAUUUACAUUGAAAAAUUGAACAUGUAUAAGUUUGGGUAUAUUUCAAAUAGAUACAUUUGUACUUCAUUUUACAAGUAGAUAUCUGUUCCAACACUAAUUAAUUGCAUUUGUUCAUUCAUAUUACUGUUUCAGUGGAAAUUGCUCCUAUGCCUCAAUGACCACAUUUAGAAAAAGAUAAGAGUAGAGAUAAUUUUUUUUAUACGUGGGCUAGGUGAUAAUGUGGUUGCUUUGGAAAAGAAUAAUUUACUACAUUACAUCAGUUUAGGAAGCUGAGUGUUAUUAUGAGCUUGGGCACUACCUAUUUUAUUGGUUUCAGCUAGAUUUUUGAAAAUACUUUUUCUGAGAGUCAGGCAGCAUAUACAUUUAAAUAAUAAACAUAGAAAAAUAGGUUGCAUGUUAUAAUUGUAGAUGUGUUGUUCCAAAAUUGAAAGUCAUCACAAAAUUGAGAUUCACAAUAAACAAGUAAAAAAGAAGCAAUAAUGUAAUUAAAACAGUUGGUGAAGACCUGUAUCCUUGUAAGUUUUCCUACAACUCAACAUGGAUAAUUGAAUUACUGUUUAAAAAUAGUUAGAACCUUUUUUUCCUCAUUUAGGUCAAAUAUUUACGCUAUAUGUUUUAAUAGAAAUGGAUAUGUUUAUAGUUGUGUUGAAAAUCUAUCAUAAAUUACAAAUAUAUUUAUAUUAAUUGCGUACAUUUAAGCUUUCUUAAAUGUCUACUGGUCCUGGUCAAGAACUUACAGAUACCACAAUGAAGUCUUUCAAAAUCUGUAAAAUACACUUCUACAUUAUACUAACAUAUCUUUUUUUUAAUAAUAUUGGUAUCUUACUCAAAGUAUUUUAAGCUAUAAAGCUAUAUCUGCAAAAAGAAUUUAAAUGGAUUAGUAAAAAAAUACCUUGUUUGUGAAUAAAGGCUGACAAUUUUUGACA
Long non-coding RNA from Crotalus tigris (Tiger rattlesnake), 2492 nucleotides. RefSeq lists it as uncharacterized. The record is from RefSeq and is a predicted model, not a curated record. NCBI's taxonomy places the organism in Eukaryota, Metazoa, Chordata, Lepidosauria, Squamata, Viperidae. The transcript has 2 exons.